RNAcentral lists this long non-coding RNA (1403 nucleotides) under Homo sapiens (human). RNAcentral describes it as "HSALNT0253317". The record is from RNAcentral. Lineage: Eukaryota; Metazoa; Chordata; Mammalia; Primates; Hominidae.
CCCCACCCAGUUCUUGGGUCUCUGGGUCUGGGGUUCUCCUGUCUGGGAAGAAGCCCAGGGUCCCAUCCUCGCCUUGCUUGGCGGACAGGCAGCCCUGGAGGGGGCGUUUCCCUCCAUCAGCAACCCAAAGGGCACCCAGCCCGAGGAACUGGCAGAGAGGGUCGGACACUGGGACAAACACUCGUAAAUCAGGGCUGUCCCGAUUAAAUCAGGCAUGGAUGGCAAGUAAGUUAUUAGCUGCCUGUGAAACUAAUUGUGAUACGGAUACAGUCAUUUUUGCAAUGUCUUUCAAACACCAGUUGUGAUGGGAAACAGCUGUUAGAUCCAGGAAAAAAAAUAAAAGGAAGGAAAGAAAAGAAGAGAGCUCCGGAUUCAAAAUCAUAAUAAUGUCUGUCUUCUCUAUUCCCUUUCACAAAAGCUCUUAGAUUCUCCUAUUCUCUCUAGACAAUUACUCACAGCAGGCGGGUCAGCCAGGAGGAGCGCAGGAUUGCAUUUAAAGUUCAUCUACUGAGGGGGAAAGACAGAAAGAGAAAAAAGGAUCCCUUCUGUUAAUGGGGGGGUGGGGGAUGGCAUGUUUAAAAUAGGUUAGAGAUUCAGGUUAAAAGGGGGAGAAGAAGUCACAGAAUAGGAGUCGAGACAUAAAUGGUGCCGUUUGACUGCUGGCUUAGUCUAUAAGCACGGAUGCAAGGGGAAGGUGUUUAGAGUCUUCAUUUAAGGCAGCAAUGAAGAAGCUCUUCCUGAGAAGCAGAGCAUGUUGUUCAUAACAUCGUGAAAGGAGAGGGAGUGGGAAGAAUCGGCCCUCCCAGGGCUGCCCUGCGAGGAGCCUUCAGCCUCCAGCCUUCAGCGCCACGUUUCCAGCCUCCUGUUUGUUCUUCAGCAAUGUUUGUAUACAGCAUCUUACAAGACAUCUUUUCAAUGUAGUAACCCUGUGUCAUUACUUAAUGCCUCAUACUUGAUGCUGCCUGGGGUGGAGAGACAGCAAGUCACCCACCCAUAGGAGCUUGUUUCCACACUGCUUCCAGUGGGCUCUCCGGGCAAGGCCACCGCCUUCCCUGCUGGCUGUCCUGGUGUCCUGUGCCUUGAGACCCCCAGGAACCCCUUGAGAGCCUGUUCUGAGCUGGGACUUGUCUAUCCUCCUCUGGGUCCUGAACACUCAAUCAGUCCUGGAAUGGAGCAAAAUCCUUUUGUCUAGCACAGGCCAAGUUUUGAGAGUUCUUCCCCUGCUUUUUGAUUUCAGCAAGGCAAUAAAUAAACUUAAAAUAUGGAUGCCUAUGACUCGGUCCUUUAUUUCUCAUCUCCAAGAUAAUGAACUCGAAGACUAUUAAAGUUGUACAGAUAAUUAGAGGCCAUGGAUCAAAUGCCUCAUGGCCCCCUGUUUGUGAACAUUAAGAUGUGCUCUGCCC